RNAcentral lists this ribosomal RNA (253 nucleotides) under uncultured bacterium. RNAcentral describes it as "partial 16S ribosomal RNA". It matches the Rfam family "Bacterial small subunit ribosomal RNA", at positions 524 to 776 of the family's 1533-position model. The record is from RNAcentral.
GACGGAGGGCGCAAGCGUUAUCCGGAUUUACUGGGUUUAAAGGGUGCGUAGGCGGGCAUGUAAGUCAGUGGUGAAAUACCGGAGCUUAACUUCGGAACUGCCAUUGAUACUAUAUGUCUUGAAUAUUGUGGAGGUAAGCGGAAUAUGUCAUGUAGCGGUGAAAUGCAUAGAUAUGACAUAGAACACCGAUUGCGGAGGCAGCUUGCUACACAAAUAUUGACGCUGAGGCACGAAAGCGUGGGGAUCAAACAGG